This 523-nucleotide long non-coding RNA is filed under the name Gossypium barbadense (sea-island cotton). RNAcentral describes it as "long non-coding RNA (GBAR_LNC002751)". Lineage: Eukaryota; Viridiplantae; Streptophyta; Magnoliopsida; Malvales; Malvaceae. The record is from RNAcentral.
GUUUCAACAUGAAGGUUUGUAAUAAAAAUUUGUUUCUAUCAGCAUUGCUUUGCAUUGCUAUUGCAGGAGUUUUGGGUCAAGCUCCUAGUAAUCCUCCUACGUCUACGCCGGCGCCACCCACACCACCGGCUUCUACUCCUCCUCCGACGACUCAACCACCGCCUACACCAACCGCCACUCCGCCACCAGUUUCUACUCCUCUUCCCACUUCAUCACCGCCCCCAGUGACAGCUUCUCCACCCCCAGUUUCAACUCCUCCACCCAGUUCUCCUCCUCCCGCAACUCCACCACCUGCUUCUCCACCUCCUGCAACUCCACCUCCAGCUUCUCCACCUCCUGCAACUCCACCUCCAGCUUCUCCACCUCCCGCCACUCCUCCACCAGCAACCCCCCCACCUGCAACUCCUCCUGCUACCCCACCACCAGCUCCAUUGGCUUCUCCUCCAGCCACAGUCCCAGCUAUCUCUCCAGUACAAACACCAUUGACCUCGCCACCAGCUCCGCCGACCGAGGCCCCAGCACC